GUGAGUAACCUGCCCUUAACUCUGGGAUAAGCCUGGGAAACUGGGUCUAAUACCGGAUAGGAGCGUCUACCGCAUGGUGGGUGUUGGAAAGAUUUAUCGGUUUUGGAUGGACUCGCGGCCUAUCAGCUUGUUGGUGAGGUAAUGGCUCACCAAGGCGACGACGGGUAGCCGGCCUGAGAGGGUGACCGGCCACACUGGGACUGAGACACGGCCCAGACUCCUACGGGAGGCAGCAGUGGGGAAUAUUGCACAAUGGGCGAAAGCCUGAUGCAGCGACGCCGCGUGAGGGAUGACGGCCUUCGGGUUGUAAACCUCUUUCAGUAGGGAAGAAGCGAAAGUGACGGUACCUGCAGAAGAAGCACCGGCUAACUACGUGCCAGCAGCCGCGGUAAUACGUAGGGUGCGAGCGUUAUCCGGAAUUAUUGGGCGUAAAGAGCUCGUAGGCGGUUUGUCGCGUCUGUCGUGAAAGUCCGGGGCUUAACCCCGGAUCUGCGGUGGGUACGGGCAGACUAGAGUGCAGUAGGGGAGACUGGAAUUCCUGGUGUAGCGGUGGAAUGCGCAGAUAUCAGGAGGAACACCGAUGGCGAAGGCAGGUCUCUGGGCUGUAACUGACGCUGAGGAGCGAAAGCAUGGGGAGCGAACAGGAUUAGAUACCCUGGUAGUCCAUGCCGUAAACGUUGGGCACUAGGUGUGGGGACCAUUCCACGGUUUCCGCGCCGCAGCUAACGCAUUAAGUGCCCCGCCUGGGGAGUACGGCCGCAAGGCUAAAACUCAAAGGAAUUGACGGGGGCCCGCACAAGCGGCGGAGCAUGCGGAUUAAUUCGAUGCAACGCGAAGAACCUUACCAAGGCUUGACAUGUUCUCGAUCGCCGUAGAGAUACGGUUUCCCCUUUGGG
This 896-nucleotide ribosomal RNA is filed under the name Micrococcus sp. VMM 1-21-3 B9. RNAcentral describes it as "bacterial SSU rRNA". It matches the Rfam family "Bacterial small subunit ribosomal RNA", at positions 117 to 1024 of the family's 1533-position model. The record is from RNAcentral. Lineage: Bacteria; Bacillati; Actinomycetota; Actinomycetes; Micrococcales; Micrococcaceae.